AUUGAACGCUGGCGGCAGGCCUAACACCUGCAAGUCGAACGCGUGGCGGACGGGUGAGUAAUGUCUGGGAAACUGCCCUAUGGAGGGGGAUAACUACUGGAAACGGUAGCUAAUACCGCAUACCAUCGGAUGUGCCCAGAUGGGAUUCGCUAGUAGGUGGGGUAACGGCUCACCUAGGCGACGAUACAUAGCUGGUCUGAGAGGAUGACCAGCCACACUGGAACUGAUACACGGGCAAGACUCCUACGGGAGGCAGCAGUGGGGAAUAUUGCACAAUGGGCGCAAGCCUGAUGCAGCCAGGCCGCGUGUAUGAAGAAGGCCUUCGGGUUGUAAAGUACUUUCAGCGGGGAGGCGUUACCCGCAGAAGAAGCACCGGCUAACUCCGUGCCAGCAGCCGCGGUAAUUC
RNAcentral lists this ribosomal RNA (406 nucleotides) under uncultured bacterium. Its description in RNAcentral is "partial 16S ribosomal RNA". It matches the Rfam family "Bacterial small subunit ribosomal RNA", at positions 30 to 526 of the family's 1533-position model. The record is from RNAcentral.